RNAcentral lists this small nuclear RNA (63 nucleotides) under Carlito syrichta (Philippine tarsier). Its description in RNAcentral is "U7 small nuclear RNA (ENSTSYG00000024751.2)". It matches the Rfam family "U7 small nuclear RNA". From Rfam's summary of the family: Animal histone pre-mRNAs are spliced by a different mechanism than nuclear pre-mRNAs and self-splicing introns. This processing involves the U7 snRNP, which contains only one RNA species: U7. The 5' end of U7 RNA is thought to base-pair to a conserved spacer element downstream of the cleavage site in histone pre-mRNA. The record is from Rfam by way of RNAcentral. Lineage: Eukaryota; Metazoa; Chordata; Mammalia; Primates; Tarsiidae.
AAGUGUUACAUAGCUCUUUUAGAAUUUGCCUAGCAGGUUUUCCGGUUUUCACUGGAAACCUUU